Molecule: ribosomal RNA, 1596 nt
Filed under: Triticum aestivum (bread wheat)
Lineage: Eukaryota; Viridiplantae; Streptophyta; Magnoliopsida; Poales; Poaceae
Description: partial small subunit ribosomal RNA
Source: RNAcentral
UGGCGAGCCACCGAACGAAACAAACACAGGCAUCUUAUCCAUUCACUUUGACCACACCCACAGCCACACACCUCCGACCUCCCCGGAGACACCCGAGAGCCUCACAACUCCUCCCCCAACAGCGCUCUCUCGUCGGUGGAUUCCGGCGGCGUGCCCGAAAGACCGCGGCGGAGGAGCUCGUGCGGGUGGCUUCCGCGGCGCCGUGCCCGGAUACCUCGACGGAGGAGCUCGUGCGGGUGGCUUACCCGGCGGUGUGCCCGGAGACCGCGGCAGGAGGAGAUGCUCCCGGAGCACGAGCUCGGUGCUGUCAAGCGAUCGUGCUCGGGGCGGCUCCGGCGAUGCACAGGGAGCCGCUUGAGUGCAGAGUAACCCACCCUCUCAGUCCUGGCAUAAGCACUAACUGAAUCUGAUUUCGUGAGCAGCACAUGCUGUAUGCAGACCGAGAGUGCGAUUCAGAAUAAAUAGUCACACUCGCACCAUUGUCAUGAAGCAGGGGCCAACCGUGAGUUUCUAAUGCAUUCCAGGAGUAACUAUUUUCGAGUCAAUAGGAUAAGGAAAUUGUUGUUCCUAUGAUAAUGCCAUGAAAAUGGUUUGAGAAGACAGUGACACUUUUUAUGCUCGAUGUUUAGACAGUUUGCCUCCUAUCAAAUUCAGAUUAAGGUGUGUAGAUGAUUUUUGCAGAAUCUACACAUGGCAAAUCGACAAAUUGUAGACUUGGAUGAGGGCACCGGAUUAGUGUAUGUUUUGGGCAUUAUUUUUUUCAGAACCAACCUUUUGAAUUAGUGUUCAUUCAAAUUUUACUACCCAUGCCAAAUUCAGCCAGAGACCCAUGGCAACUUAAUUUCCCCCUAUGUUUUACAGGGGCUUUCAGGUGAUUCUUUUAGCCAUGGCAACUAAAUUCCCCCUCCCUUGUGUUUUUGUAGGGGGUUAAGAGGAUUCCUUUUUGCCAUGGCAAUUUUAUUAUGUGCUGUAGUUGCACAGAUAGUUUGCCCCAUGGGGGUACGCAUCCCCUCAUUGCUUUUUGACCAAUCUUUUAAAACCAUUUUUUGCAUUUACUGUGUGAGGUUUCUUGGAAUUUGGAGCAGUUUGCGAGUUAGUUUAGUUGGGAAAUCACAUUAGGUGUAGAUAGUGGUUUGCUCCCCCUCUCCUUCACCUCUGACAAACUGGCAUGGCAAAUUUACAUAAGGCGUGUAGAUAGCUUUAGUUGGGAAAUUCACGACCUAUAAAUGACCAUGGUAAUUAGUAUGUUUUCUUGCCGUGGCAGUGGCACCUUAUAUUUUUUUUUAUUGCCAUGUUACAUAGUCGUGAUUUGUGAAGACAAUUUGUGUUUAUUAAAUUCACUAGAUGUCCCACGGCAAAUUCAGUUUAAUCCUCAUGGCAAGUUUCUUUUUUCAAGAUGAUGUCAACUUUUUUUACCAUGGCAAUUUUGAAAAUGAUUCUGCCAAGGCAAAUUCAAUUUAAUGAUCAUGUCGAGUUUCUUUUUUCAAGACGAUAACAACUUUUUUUACCAUGGCAAUUUUUAUAGUGAUUUUGCCAUGGCAAAUUCACUAGAUGUCCCACGGCAAAUUCAGUUUAAUGGCCAUGGCAAGUUUCUUU